UAUUAAUAAGCGGAGGAAAAGGAAUUAACAAAGAUUCCCCCAGUAACGGCGAGUGAAGUGGGAUGUAGCCCAGCACCGAAUCCUAGCGGCCGAUGCGUCGUGUGGACCUGUGGUGUUCGGGGCCCCGACUUUCGUUCAGCUUCGAUGCGCCUCAGUUUCAUUGAAAGGGCUGUUGCUCCAGAGCGGGUGUCAGACCCUUGUGUAGCGCACGGGCGGACGAAGGUAGAGGGGGCCCCACGAGUCGGGUUGUUUGAGAGUGCAGCCCAAAGACGGUGGUAAGCUCCAUCGAAGGCUAAACACUGCCACGAGUCCGAUAGCGAACAAGUACCGUGAGGGAACGUUGAAAAGGACUUCGAAGAGAGAGUUCAAGAGUACGUGAAACCGCCUAAAGGGAAACGAGUGGCUCCGCAUUGUCGGCCUGCGGUGUUCAUUUCGCUCGUCUGAGCGACCGGUCGUUCGAAGGACUUGCUUCCGAAGCUUGACCUCGAUUCGAUGCGGGUCGCCUCGCGAGUGGGUGCAUUUGCCGCGAGGCAGGGCGUCACGAUCGCUUCUAUAUGGUGCGCGACCGUCGGUGGUGCCGGCUUGAGCGAGCGUCCCUUCCGGGGACGCACGACUUGCGCGGCCUGCUGUCCCGCGUGCCUGGGAGCGUGUAACGAUCGGUUCGACUUCGCUGGUCGCUGUCUCUGCUGUCGGAGCCUGCCGUCGGUUCACACUACGUGUGACCGCGCGGUGGCACUGGCGCAGAGCAAGGCGAUCGGCGUGCUGAGCCUUGUAUCGGUGGCGAUUGAGUCGGUCUGCUACUCGUCCCGUCUUGAAACACGGACCAAGGAGUCUAGCAUGUGCGCGAGUCGCAGAGUGCCUACGAGACUCUUGGGCGAAAUGAAAGUGAGAUGACGCGUCGCCUUCGGACGUCGAAAAAGGUGGGAUCCGAUCGCGCGGUCUGUAGACUCGCGCGACGGCGCACCACCAGCCCGCCUCAUUGAGACGCCGACCGUCGACCGCCAGGUUGGCGGCGGACGUCGAGACGGAGCGAGAGCGUACAUGCUGGUACCCGAAAGAUGGUGAACUAUGCCUGGGCAGGACGAAGCCAGAGGAAACUCUGGUGGAGGUCCGCAGCGGUUCUGACGUGCAAAUCGAUCGUCAAACCUGGGUAUAGGGGCGAAAGACUAAUCGAACCAUUUAGUAGCUGGUUCCCUUCGAAGUUUCCCUCAGGAUAGCUGGCCUUUGGAAACGAAUCAGUUUUAUCCGAUAAAGCGACGAUUGGAGGCGUCGGGGUCUACACGACCUUAACCUACUCUCAAACUUUAAAUGGGUGAGAGACUCGGCUCGCAGACAAACGGAGCCGAGUGACGAGCGAAUGAGAAGGCCAAGUGGGCCAUUUUUGGUAAGCAGAACUGGCGCUGUGGGAUGAACCAAACGCGCGGUUAAGGUGCCAGACGCUAAUGCUCAGUGGAACCCAUAAAAGGUGUUGCUUGGUAUAGACAGCAGGACGGUGGCCAUGGAAGUCGGAAACCGCUAAGGAGUGUGUAACAACUCACCUGCCGAACCAAGCAGC
This 1555-nucleotide ribosomal RNA is filed under the name Cocculina sp. NUGB L429. RNAcentral's name for it is "partial 28S rRNA". It matches the Rfam family "Eukaryotic large subunit ribosomal RNA", at positions 41 to 1310 of the family's 3401-position model. Lineage: Eukaryota; Metazoa; Mollusca; Gastropoda; Cocculinidae. The record is from RNAcentral.